AUGAUUACCACUACUCAUUA
This 20-nucleotide small nuclear RNA is filed under the name Arabidopsis thaliana (thale cress). RNAcentral's name for it is "snRNA_13395". The record is from RNAcentral. Lineage: Eukaryota; Viridiplantae; Streptophyta; Magnoliopsida; Brassicales; Brassicaceae.